RNAcentral lists this long non-coding RNA (301 nucleotides) under Phoenix dactylifera (date palm). RNAcentral's name for it is "long non-coding RNA (PDAC_LNC004820)". The record is from RNAcentral. Lineage: Eukaryota; Viridiplantae; Streptophyta; Magnoliopsida; Arecales; Arecaceae.
UUUGACUUGGGUAACGAGAAAAGAGGAAUACACUUGAGAGAGUCAUUUCGCAAGUAUUGAUUUUACUAGCUAAUAGUAUGAGAAUGAGUUGUUUGUACUUAGACCUUAAGCAAAUCAAGUCAACUACAAUCAAUGAGAGUAAAUUUGGCAAGAAUUUGCAAGCCAUGCACUUAGGCACUUUUUGGAUGAACCAAAAGUUGCAAAGUGUAGUAAUGGAUAUCAACAAAGUCCUGCUGCAAAUGAAUAUGUGCCCCAUGACAAUAAGUCAUCAAGGAAUGCUAUUGUUUUCCACGAUAAAUAU